UUUAAUGAGAGUUUGAUCCUGGCUCAGGGUGAACGCUGGCGGCGUGUUUAAGGCAUGCAAGUCGAACGGACCUCGCAAGAGGUCAGUGGCAAACGGGAGAAUAACACAUUGGUAACCUACCCCGAAGCGGGAAAUAACACCUCGAAAGAGGUGCUAAUAUCCCAUAUAAUGGCUCAGGUAACGUCCUGAGUUAUGAAAGAUUUAUCGCUUUGGGAGGGGCCUAUGUUCCAUCAGCUCGUUGGUGAGGUAAAAGCUCACCAAGGCAACGACGGAUACCGGGCGUGAGAGCGUGACCCGGCUCACUGGGACUGAGACACUGCCCAGACACCUACGGGUGGCUGCAGUCGAGAAUCUUCCCCAAUGGACGAAAGUCUGAGGGAGCGACGCCGCGUGACCGAAGAAGCCCUUUGGGGUGUAAAGGUCUUUUCUUGGGGAAAAAUUAGUGAUGGUACUCAAGGAAUAAGAGGUUGCUAACUUCGUGCCAGCAGCAGCGGUAAUACGAAGGCCUCAAGCGUUACCCGGAUUCAUUGGGCGUAAAGAGUUCAAAGGCGGUUUUACAAGUCAAACGUUAAAUACUGAUGCUCAACAUCAGGCCUGCGUUUGAAACGGUAAAGCUCGAGGAUGGUAGAGGUAGGCGGAAUUGCCGGUGUAGCAGUGCAAUGCGUUAAUAUCGGCAAGAACACCAACAGCGAAGGCAGCCUACUGGAACAUUUCUGACGCUAUACGAACGAAAGCGUGGGGAGAGAAUGGGAUUAGAUACCCCAGUAUUCCACGCCGUAAACGAUGAGUGCUAGGCAUUGAAAGUAUCGACCCUUUCAGUGUCGUUCAAUCAAGCUAACGCCUUAAGCACUCCGCCUGGGGAGUACGACCGCAAGGUUAAAACUCAAAGGAAUUGACGGGAGCCCGCACAAGCGGUGGAGCAUGUGGUUUAAUUCGACACAGACCGAAUAACCUUACCUGGAUUCUUCUCACAGAAGUCUUUGGAAACAUUGACGUGCCGCAAGGAGCUGUGAGCAGGGUGAUGCACGGCUGUCGUCAGCUCGUGUCGUGAGAUGUACGGUUAAGUCCGGAAACGAGCGCAACCCUCGUAGUAUGUUACAUUGUUCAUACUAGACUGCCCUCUUUAAGAGGGAGGAAGGAGAGGAUGACGUCAAGUCAGCGUGUCCCUUACGUCCAGGGCCACACACGUGCUACAAUGGCGUGAAACAGAGGGGCGCGAAUCGGCAACGUUUUAGCAAAUCCCCAAAACACGCCUCAGUUCAGAUUGAGGUCUGAAACUCGACCUCAUGAAGCCGGAAUCGCUAGUAACCGUGGAUCAUCAAGCCACGGUGAAUACGUUCUCGGGCUUUGUACACACCGCCCGUCACUUCAAGGGAGCCGGUAAUACCCGAAAUCCCCUCGUUCUAGAGGGGCUGAAGGUAGGACUGGUGACAGGGAAGAAGUCGUAACAAGGCAUGCGUAGCGGAAGCUGUGCAUGGAUCACCUCCUUU
Molecule: non-coding RNA, 1490 nt
Organism: Candidatus Kerfeldbacteria bacterium
Lineage: Bacteria; Candidatus Kerfeldiibacteriota
Source: Rfam